UUGAACUGUCUUGGCAGGCUGCAGAUGCACAUGUUGAAUGGAGCGUUAUUGGCAUUGCUAUUUCCUGUAGUUAAUACCAGGCUGCUCCCCUUCGAGAUGGAGGUCUACUACAUCCAACACAUCACACUAUACAUUGUACCAAUCUAUCUGUUGCAGAAAGGGGCUGGACAAACCUAAACUUG
Chiloscyllium plagiosum (whitespotted bambooshark) is the source of this 182-nucleotide non-coding RNA. NCBI's taxonomy places the organism in Eukaryota, Metazoa, Chordata, Chondrichthyes, Orectolobiformes, Hemiscylliidae. The record is from RefSeq and is a predicted model, not a curated record.